This 28-nucleotide non-coding RNA is filed under the name Mus musculus (house mouse). Lineage: Eukaryota; Metazoa; Chordata; Mammalia; Rodentia; Muridae. The record is from RNAcentral.
UGAAAAUGGCUAUGAUAAGGACUGAUGA